GUAUGCUUGCCACCGGGUAAGCAUUUAAGUGCCAUAAGUACUUCGUUAGGUCAGAGAAGAAGUGCUUUUGGCACUUUUUUUUAA
This 84-nucleotide non-coding RNA is filed under the name unclassified sequences. The record is from RNAcentral.